AACGAACGCUGGCGGCAUGCCUAACACAUGCAAGUCGAACGAGACCUUCGGGUCUAGUGGCGCACGGGUGCGUAACGCGUGGGAACCUGCCCUUAGGUUCGGAAUAACUCCCCGAAAGGGGUGCUAAUACCGGAUAAUGUCUUCGGACCAAAGAUUUAUCGCCUUUGGAUGGGCCCGCGUUGGAUUAGCUAGUUGGUAGGGUAAAAGCCUGCCAAGGCGACGAUCCAUAGCUGGUCUGAGAGGAUGAUCAGCCACACUGGGACUGAGACACGGCCCAGACUCCUACGGGAGGCAGCAGUGGGGAAUAUUGGACAAUGGGCAAAAGCCUGAUCCAGCAAUGCCGCGUGAGUGAUGAAGGCCUUAGGGUUGUAAAGCUCUUUUACCCGGGAUGAUAAUGACAGUACCGGGAGAAUAAGCUCCGGCUAACUCCGUG
This 433-nucleotide ribosomal RNA is filed under the name uncultured bacterium. RNAcentral's name for it is "partial 16S ribosomal RNA". It matches the Rfam family "Bacterial small subunit ribosomal RNA", at positions 29 to 507 of the family's 1533-position model. The record is from RNAcentral.